This 429-nucleotide ribosomal RNA is filed under the name Bacteroidota bacterium. Its description in RNAcentral is "Bacteroidetes bacterium partial 16S ribosomal RNA". It matches the Rfam family "Bacterial small subunit ribosomal RNA", at positions 355 to 776 of the family's 1533-position model. Lineage: Bacteria; Pseudomonadati; Bacteroidota. The record is from RNAcentral.
UAGGGAAUCUUCGGCAAUGGGGGGAACCCUGACCGAGCAACGCCGCGUGAGUGAAGAAGGUUUUCGGAUCGUAAAGCUCUGUUGUUAAGGAAGAACGAGUGUGAGAAUGGAAAGUUCAUACUGUGACGGUACUUAACCAGAAAGGGACGGCUAACUACGUGCCAGCAGCCGCGGUAAUACGUAGGUCCCGAGCGUUGUCCGGAUUUAUUGGGCGUAAAGCGAGCGCAGGCGGUUAGAUAAGUCUGAAGUUAAAGGCAGUGGCUCAACCAUUGUAGGCUUUGGAAACUGGUUGACUUGAGUGCAGAAGGGGGGAGUGGAAUUCCAGGUGUAGCGGUGAAAUGGGUAGAUAUAUGGAGGAACACCGGUGGCGAAAGCGGCUCUGGGGUCUGUAACUGACGCUGGGGCUGGAAAGCGGGGGGGGAGAACAGG